UACAGAGGUCCCAAGCGUUGUUCGGAUUUAUUGGGCGUAAAGAGCUCGUAGGCGGUUCAGUAAGUCGGGUGUGAAAACUUUGGGCUUAACCCAAAGCGUGCAUCCGAUACUGCUGUGACUUGAGUUCGGUAGGGGAGUGGGGAAUUCCUAGUGUAGCGGUGAAAUGCGCAGAUAUUAGGAGGAACACCGGUGGCGAAGGCGCCACUCUGGGCCGAAACUGACGCUGAGGAGCGAAAGCAUGGGUAGCAAACAGG
Molecule: ribosomal RNA, 254 nt
Filed under: uncultured bacterium
Lineage: Bacteria
Description: partial 16S ribosomal RNA
Rfam family: Bacterial small subunit ribosomal RNA
Source: RNAcentral